GAUGAACGCUGGCGGCGUGCUUAACACAUGCAAGUCGAACGAAGCACCUUGGACAGAUUCUUCGGAUGAAGUCCUUAGUGACUGAGUGGCGGACGGGUGAGUAACGCGUGGGUAACCUGCCUCAUACAGGGGGAUAACAGUUAGAAAUGGCUGCUAAUACCGCAUAAGCGCACGGUACUGCAUGGUACAGUGUGAAAAACUCCGGUGGUAUGAGAUGGACCCGCGUUGGAUUAGCUAGUUGGCAGGGUAACGGCCUACCAAGGCGACGAUCCAUAGCCGGCCUGAGAGGGUGGACGGCCACAUUGGGACUGAGACACGGCCCAGACUCCUACGGGAGGCAGCAGUGGGGAAUAUUGCACAAUGGGGGAAACCCUGAUGCAGCGACGCCGCGUGAGCGAAGAAGUAUUUCGGUAUGUAAAGCUCUAUCAGCAGGGAAGAAAA
Molecule: ribosomal RNA, 441 nt
Filed under: uncultured bacterium
Lineage: Bacteria
Description: bacterial SSU rRNA
Rfam family: Bacterial small subunit ribosomal RNA
Source: RNAcentral